UGACAGUACUCCUACGGGAGGCAGCAGUGGGGAAUAUUGCACAAUGGGCGCAAGCCUGAUGCAGCAACGCCGCGUGAGUGAUGAAGGCCUUCGGGUCGUAAAGCUCUGUCCUCAAGGAAGAAUAAAUGACGGUACUUGAGGAGGAAGCCCCGGCUAACUACGUGCCAGCAGCCGCGGUAAUACGUAGGGGCGAAGCGUUAUCCGGAAUCACUGGGCGUAAAGGGUGCGUAGGCGGUUUUCUAAGUCAGAAGUGAAAGGACUAUGGCUCAACCAUAGUAAGCUUUGUAAACUAGUUAAACUUGAGUGCAGGAGAGGAAGUGGAAUUCCUAGUGUAGAGGUGAAAUUCGUAGAUAUUAGGAGGAACACCAGUGGCGAAGGCGACUUUCUGGACUGUAACUGACGCUGAGGCACGAAAGCGUGGGGAGCGAACAGGAUUAGAUACCCUGGUAG
This 450-nucleotide ribosomal RNA is filed under the name uncultured bacterium. Its description in RNAcentral is "bacterial SSU rRNA". It matches the Rfam family "Bacterial small subunit ribosomal RNA", at positions 328 to 793 of the family's 1533-position model. The record is from RNAcentral.